GGCCCGCAACAGGCGGCGGAGCAUGUGGUUUAAUUCGACGCAACGCGAAGAACCUUACCAGCGUUUGACAUGGGAAGUGCCGGUUACAGAAUGGUAACCUUCAGUUCGGCUGGCUUCCGCACAGGUGCUGCAUGGCUGUCGUCAGCUCGUGUCGUGAGAUGUUGGUUAAGUCCCGCAACGAGCGCAACCCUUAUCGUUAGUUACUAACAGUUCGGCUGAGGACUCUAGCGAAACUGCCGGUGAUAAGCCGGAGGAAGGUGGGGAUGACGUCAAGUCCUCAUGGCCCUUACACGCUGGGCUACACACGUGCUACAAUGGUAACUACAACGGGCAGCGACACCGCGAGGUGAAGCGAA
RNAcentral lists this ribosomal RNA (356 nucleotides) under uncultured bacterium. RNAcentral's name for it is "bacterial SSU rRNA". It matches the Rfam family "Bacterial small subunit ribosomal RNA", at positions 918 to 1271 of the family's 1533-position model. The record is from RNAcentral.